This is a non-coding RNA of Heterocephalus glaber (naked mole-rat), 2072 nucleotides long. The record is from RefSeq and is a predicted model, not a curated record. Lineage: Eukaryota; Metazoa; Chordata; Mammalia; Rodentia; Bathyergidae.
GCUUCCCCAUUUUUCACACCCUGUGGUGAUUUCCCAACAGGAAGGCUCCUGAGGACAGAUUGUGGCUGGACUCCGGCCACAGUUACCACGAUGUGUUCAUCAGGCUGAGGUGGUCCCAAUGCCUUGGAGCUUACCACAGCUCCUAAGAGGAAGUCAGCUGCAACCCCAGGAUCCCAUCACCAUCCAGACACCCUUCGAAACAAAAGAUGACUAAGACGGAAUCAGCCUCCCACUUGCUUACUCCAGAUGAGACCCUGCCUCAGGGUUCCUACCUGACCCAGGUGUGAGCUCAGUCUGUCUGAGGGUUUUGCUGAGGCAGCUGGGACAGAUGGUGCUGCUGUAGCCAUCUUGUGCUUAAGAGGAAAAGCCUGUCGAAGAAUGGAGCCCGCUUGAAGGCUAUGGAGAAGACAGGCACAGAGUGCGCUCCAGCACAGGUGACCCAUUGCAGCCUGUUUCUAAUUGCUCUGGGAGUGGGAUACUCCUCUGAAAGUUCUCACCACACAAACCAACGAGUUCUACGUUCUGUCACUGGCAGUCAGCAAGUGCUGAGCAGCAUGGUGCCUCUCCCUCAGACAAGAUGCUGGCAAGUGGAGGGGCGGAAUCUGCAGGGCAGGCCACCUGUGGAUCCGCCCAGGGCACGUGGAGACACCAGAGCUAGGGCAGGAAGCAGAGAUCUGGGAUAGCUCCAGUAGCACUGCUGGUAUCAGGACAAAUUGGCCCAGCUUUCAGCCCAGACUUAGCUGCCUCAUGACAGAAGUCUCCUCCUGUUCCCGCCUAUGGCUCAUGAGCCUCUCCUUCCCCACCAUCUGAGAGUGGACACCUCUGAGAGCCCUGUUUCCAAGCAAGGAGGCCCCAAGAGGCUGAGCAGCUGGCCCACAGCCACAGAGCUUGUUAAAGGAUAGAGCUGGGGCCUGAAACCAGGUGUCCCUGACUCCACAGCCUGCCUUUUUGGGGUUUUUCUCUGUAAUAAAUUCUAACAUCUUCCUGAGCUGUUUUAAGAGAUAAUGCCUGCUGAAAACCAUGUGCAUGCUGGCUACUUGGGAGGCUGGGACAGGAGGGUGGCUGAAGCCCAGGAUAUUCAGCCUAUAGGGUGCCAUGCUGAUGGGUUGUCCACACUGUCUCUGUGGGAUGUGUACACUGAAGCCCCCAGGCGCACACAUCUGCUGCUCUCUGCUUAUGUUCACUCCUGCAGGUGUGGCUCAGCAUGGGCAGCACAGGGUAUGUCGGGGAUGCACCAUCUGUGCCAAUGCGACAGCUGCCAGCUAUCAGGAAAUUAACCAGCCCAUCACAACCAGCUGUGCAGCAGCCGCAGCAUGGGGCACGAUGCCCCCUUUCUGGCAGGGUCAUUGGUGCAGCUGCAUGGAGGACCUAUGAGGCUGGGUAUGAGCUGUCUAUGCACUUGAGGCACACAAGAGUUGCUGUUUCCUGCUGCUCCAAUAAAAAAGUGUCUUCCUGGGGAUUUGGAGAAGAAGCAAAAGCAAAUCAGACCCCAACUCUCAGGCACUCAGGAGCCUCAUUAGUGUGUGUAGUGCUCCGGUGACAGAUUGGCUUCCUCCUGCGCAGCCUCAGCACAGAGCCUGUCUGCUGACCAAACUCAACACUGCUGACCACCGGGUGCAUUGCCAAUGGAGCAGCGCAGAAGUGACCAUGUGCCAUGAGAACAAACCAGAUCCCACAGCUGGAGGAUGGUGAGCCCAGGAGCCCAACUUAUGGCCCAGGCCAGUUUGGAGCCACCUAACCCUCAACAUGGGAGAGAACCCAGGUCAGAUGUGCAGAGCCACCUGCUCUACCCACAGCUGACCUCAGACUUAUGACAGCAGAACUGCCCAGCCAACAUGUAGCCAUGGUCUCAUAAGCAUUGUGUGUGUGUGUGUUUUAACCAUGGAGAUGGUCAUGUUUGCUUUACAGUAGUAGCUAACCAACACAUCUCUUGUAAAGUUGUUCUUGGGGGGCAAGCAACUUGGAGUAUAAGGUCUCUUUGCCCUUUUGUCCUAGAAACUGGGAGAAAAUAGACUUCCAAGGAUUUCUGAAGGAACAUCAAGACAUUUGGAUUUUACUGUAACAGGAUAAAA